This is a non-coding RNA of Camellia sinensis, 464 nucleotides long. Lineage: Eukaryota; Viridiplantae; Streptophyta; Magnoliopsida; Ericales; Theaceae. The record is from RefSeq and is a predicted model, not a curated record.
UGUAUCACUUGGUGACUUUGCAAAGCAGUGUUUAACAUGUUAUCAAACUGAAUCCAUCUCCCAAACACCAAUCAAACUGAAUAAAUAUUGAAAUUCGUUGAUUAACUUAGUUCAAAAAAGUGAUGGCUCCUCGCACAAAGAAACCACAAGCUUGAGAGGUUGGACAGUCAUCAAAUCAAGGGUGACAAUAUCCGUCAAAUGACUUCCCUUCACAACUUGAAGAAGUUAAUUAUGGUAGUAUGUCUUCCUAUUCAAUAAUUACUGGUCGAAGAGUGAGCCUUGCACCAAUGUAUGAUGUUCUGUUGAUCGACAAACUUGAAGGUAUAGGAUGGGUAAACUUGAUAAAUUUGCCUAGAAAGGUCUAUCAUCGUUUUUUUGCCCUUUUUUAUUUGCAUCUAAAACGUUCGAAUGUCGAAGAAGACGACUACAUAAUUCAGUCUUAUAUGAAAGGCAAAUUCAUUUCA